GAUCAUGGCUCAGAUUGAACGCUGGCGGCAGGCCUAACACAUGCAAGUCGAGCGGUAGCACAGAGGAGCUUGCUCCUCGGGUGACGAGCGGCGGACGGGUGAGUAAUGUCUGGGAAACUGCCUGAUGGAGGGGGAUAACUACUGGAAACGGUAGCUAAUACCGCAUAACGUCGCAAGACCAAAGAGGGGGACCUUCGGGCCUCUUGCCAUCAGAUGUGCCCAGAUGGGAUUAGCUAGUAGGUGGGGUAACGGCUCACCUAGGCGACGAUCCCUAGCUGGUCUGAGAGGAUGACCAGCCACACUGGAACUGAGACACGGUCCAGACUCCUACGGGAGGCAGCAGUGGGGAAUAUUGCACAAUGGGCGCAAGCCUGAUGCAGCCAUGCCGCGUGUAUGAAGAAGGCCUUCGGGUUGUAAAGUACUUUCAGCGGGGAGGAAGGUGUUGAGGUUAAUAACCUCAGCAAUUGACGUUACCCGCAGAAGAAGCACCGGCUAACUCCGUGCCAGCAGCCGCGGUAAUACGGAGGGUGCAAGCGUUAAUCGGAAUUACUGGGCGUAAAGCGCACGCAGGCGGUCUGUCAAGUCGGAUGUGAAAUCCCCGGGCUCAACCUGGGAACUGCAUUCGAAACUGGCAGGCUAGAGUCUUGUAGAGGGGGGUAGAAUUCCAGGUGUAGCGGUGAAAUGCGUAGAGAUCUGGAGGAAUACCGGUGGCGAAGGCGGCCCCCUGGACAAAGACUGACGCUCAGGUGCGAAAGCGUGGGGAGCAAACAGGAUUAGAUACCCUGGUAGUCCACGCCGUAAACGAUGUCGACUUGGAGGUUGUGCCCUUGAGGCGUGGCUUCCGGAGCUAACGCGUUAAGUCGACCGCCUGGGGAGUACGGCCGCAAGGUUAAAACUCAAAUGAAUUGACGGGGGCCCGCACAAGCGGUGGAGCAUGUGGUUUAAUUCGAUGCAACGCGAAGAACCUUACCUACUCUUGACAUCCAGAGAACUUUCCAGAGAUGGAUUGGUGCCUUCGGGAACUCUGAGACAGGUGCUGCAUGGCUGUCGUCAGCUCGUGUUGUGAAAUGUUGGGUUAAGUCCCGCAACGAGCGCAACCCUUAUCCUUUGUUGCCAGCGGUUAGGCCGGGAACUCAAAGGAGACUGCCAGUGAUAAACUGGAGGAAGGUGGGGAUGACGUCAAGUCAUCAUGGCCCUUACGAGUAGGGCUACACACGUGCUACAAUGGCGCAUACAAAGAGAAGCGACCUCGCGAGAGCAAGCGGACCUCAUAAAGUGCGUCGUAGUCCGGAUUGGAGUCUGCAACUCGACUCCAUGAAGUCGGAAUCGCUAGUAAUCGUAGAUCAGAAUGCUACGGUGAAUACGUUCCCGGGCCUUGUACACACCGCCCGUCACACCAUGGGAGUGGGUUGCAAAAGAAGUAGGUAGCUUAACCUUCGGGAGGGCGCUUACCACUUUGUGAUUCAUGACUGGGGUGAAGUCGUAACAAGGUAACC
RNAcentral lists this ribosomal RNA (1496 nucleotides) under Enterobacter chengduensis. RNAcentral's name for it is "bacterial SSU rRNA". It matches the Rfam family "Bacterial small subunit ribosomal RNA". The record is from RNAcentral. Lineage: Bacteria; Pseudomonadati; Pseudomonadota; Gammaproteobacteria; Enterobacterales; Enterobacteriaceae.